This 202-nucleotide ribosomal RNA is filed under the name Xenopus laevis (African clawed frog). RNAcentral's name for it is "partial 28S ribosomal RNA". Lineage: Eukaryota; Metazoa; Chordata; Amphibia; Anura; Pipidae. The record is from RNAcentral.
GGCCCCCCCUCGCGGGGGGCCGCGGGGGCGGGGGGGCGCGGGGGGCCGGGAGCGCCCGGCGGCGGCGACUCUGGACGCGCGCCGGGCCCUUCCUGUGGAUCGCCCCAGCUGCGGCGCGCGCCUCUCCCCCGCGCCGUCCCCCUCCUGCGCCUCCCCCCGUCAGGGGACGGGGCGCGNGCNGCGGGGCGGCCGGGGCGGGCCC